RNAcentral lists this unclassified non-coding RNA (334 nucleotides) under uncultured Glomeraceae. RNAcentral's name for it is "SSU rRNA". It matches the Rfam family "Eukaryotic small subunit ribosomal RNA", at positions 548 to 886 of the family's 1831-position model. Lineage: Eukaryota; Fungi; Glomeromycota; Glomeromycetes; Glomerales; Glomeraceae. The record is from RNAcentral.
UUGGAGGGCAAGUCUGGUGCCAGCAGCCGCGGUAAUUCCAGCUCCAAUAGCGUAUAUUAAAGUUGUUGCAGUUAGUUUGCUCGUAGUUGAAUUUCGGGAUCAAUAUAUCGGUCGUGCCUCUGGUAUGCACUGGUAUUAUUGAUUUCUACCUUCUGACGAACCAUGAUGUCAUUAAUUUGGUGUCAUGGGGAAUCAGGACUGUUACUUUGAAAAAAUUAGAGUGUUUAAAGCAAGCACACGCUUGAAUACAUUAGCAUGGAAUAAUGAAAUAGGACGUUUGACCCUAUUUUGUUGGUUUCUAGGAUCGACGUAAUGAUUAAUAGGGAUAGUUGGG